This 468-nucleotide ribosomal RNA is filed under the name uncultured bacterium. RNAcentral's name for it is "partial 16S ribosomal RNA". It matches the Rfam family "Bacterial small subunit ribosomal RNA", at positions 28 to 507 of the family's 1533-position model. The record is from RNAcentral.
GACGAACGCUGGCGGCGUGCUUAACACAUGCCAGUCGAACGGAAAGUCCCUGCUUUUGCGGUGUGCUCGAGUGGCUAAUUUGUGAUUAACACGUGAUUAAUCUGCCCUUGAUUUUGUGAUAACUUCAGGAAACUGGGGCUAAUACCGGAUAGUAGCUCCUGCUUCAUGGUGGGGGUUGGAAAGUUUCGGCGGUUGGGGAUGGAAUCGCGGCUUAUCAGCUUGUUGUUGGGGUAGUGGAUUACCAAGGCUUUGACGGGUAGCCGGGCUGAGAGGGGGGCAGGACAGAUUAGGACGGAGAUGAGGCACAGACUCAUACGGGAGGCAACAGAGGGGAAUAGUGCACAGUGGGCGGAAGGAUGAUGCAGCAAAGCCGCGUGCGGGAUGACGGGAUUCGGGUUGUAAAGCGAUGUCGCAUGUGAAGAAGAGUGAGUGACGGUAAUGGGUAAAGAAGCACCGGCUAACUACGUG